RNAcentral lists this ribosomal RNA (254 nucleotides) under uncultured bacterium. RNAcentral's name for it is "partial 16S ribosomal RNA". It matches the Rfam family "Bacterial small subunit ribosomal RNA", at positions 524 to 776 of the family's 1533-position model. The record is from RNAcentral.
UACGAGGGGGGCGAGCGUUGUUCGGAAUUAUUGGGCGUAAAGGGUGCGUAGGCGGUUUGGUAAGUCUCGUGUGAAAUCUCCGGGCUCAACUCGGAGCCUGCACGAGAAACUGCCGGGCUUGAGUGUGGGAGAGGUGAGUGGAAUUCCUGGUGUAGCGGUGAAAAUGCGUAGAUAUCAGGAGGAACACCUGUGGCGAAAGCGGCUCACUGGACCAUAACUGACGCUGAUGCACGAAAGCUAGGGGAGCAAACAGG